This 1264-nucleotide long non-coding RNA is filed under the name Homo sapiens (human). Its description in RNAcentral is "ATP1A1 antisense RNA 1". The record is from RNAcentral. Lineage: Eukaryota; Metazoa; Chordata; Mammalia; Primates; Hominidae.
GACGAAUCCGCGCUCCCCCAGGCUGUCGCGCGAGCUCCCCGGAAGCUCCCACCUGAGCGGCGCAUCCUCAGGGCCUGGGCCUGGCCUCCUUGCCUGUGAGAUGGCACUGUGACGGUGCCCACCUCGUGGGGUGUGUGAGGGCCGAGUGAAAUCGUGCAUUUGCGGUAAGAAAGUGCUUAUCACGGUGCCCAGUCCUAAUAUGGGCUGCCAGCCUAAGUACAGAGUCCCAAUCCCAGCCCAAAGGCCAGUUUCCAGGUGAACCCUUGUCGGGGAGACCACCAGACGGAACAGUCCCAGUCUACACUCCUGCACCGAGCAGGGGACAGUGUGGACCGCAGAGAGGUCCGAAGUCCCUUUAGAAUAAGGAUGGUGCUUCAGGGUUGUUAAAAGGAUUAAAUGAGAUGAUAUCUAAAGGGAUUAGCACAGUGGCUGGUGCUAAAAUAAAUCAUUUUCUCUACUGCCACUGCUCUUACAACCAGACGCCUGGAACAGCCUGCUGGUUCGUCUCCUCAUUUGUAAGCUGGAGUUAGUAGGUGUGUUGUGAAGGUUGAGAGAAUAUGCAUAGGCAGAACCUGGCGUUUAAUAUUUGGGAAGUGGCAGCAAUUCUUUCUUCAUUAAUCUACAAGCUGCACUGUGGUAGGCACAUACCCUUAGCACCGAUUCUUAUAAGUGCAGGUAAGAGAGAGAGAAGAUAUAUUGUGUAAGUCGAAGGAGCCAGCCGUGUCCAGGCCACCGCAAAACCUCGACAGUACUGUACCAGGGCCCUCUUCAGUGAAUGAAUCUCCUCUUUGGCCUGUUUGCUGUCUGUUUGCAUUUGCUGCACCCAUCAGUUCCCAAACCUGGUCUCUAAAGUCAGGAGCUCAAGGAAGCUUGUCCCAAUCCUAGAAAACAAGUACAGCACACACCAACAGCAGCAUCCCUAAAAGCCAGCCCUACUGGCAAUGCGGGCCCUGCAACCCGUAGGUAAGUGGGACACUCUAAGCUUCUUGGAAACAGCUAACUCAGGGCCUGAUUAGCUUACUCCCGCCUCCUGUCUUCAGGAAAUCAGACUGUGUAAAAUAAGAGAGAAAAGAAAAUUGACAUAAGUCUAUUCCACUGUCUAAUGAAAUGUGUUUCACUUGUGUUUAAAGUGAAUUGUGGGCUGGCGUGGUGGCUCAUUUGCCUAUAAUCCCAACACUUUAGGAGGCCAAGGCAGGCAGAUGGCUUGAGCUCAGAAGUUUGAAAUCAGCCUGGCAACAUGCAAAAACCCCAUCUCUACAAAAAA